RNAcentral lists this non-coding RNA (28 nucleotides) under Homo sapiens (human). Lineage: Eukaryota; Metazoa; Chordata; Mammalia; Primates; Hominidae. The record is from RNAcentral.
UGGCUAUGCUGUACCCAAGGCCAAAGCC